UCAAAAAUAAUUUAACACAAAAUCUUGUCCCUACAACACAAUAAUUAAGGGCCAAUCCCUUUUUUUGAA
RNAcentral lists this transfer RNA (69 nucleotides) under Vazella pourtalesii. Its description in RNAcentral is "tRNA-Val". Lineage: Eukaryota; Metazoa; Porifera; Hexactinellida; Lyssacinosida; Rossellidae. The record is from RNAcentral.